This is a long non-coding RNA of Sipha flava (yellow sugarcane aphid), 331 nucleotides long. RefSeq lists it as uncharacterized. NCBI's taxonomy places the organism in Eukaryota, Metazoa, Arthropoda, Insecta, Hemiptera, Aphididae. The record is from RefSeq and is a predicted model, not a curated record. The transcript is spliced from 3 exons.
UUUAUCAGCGUUAAGUACGUUCAAUACGAUUUGUUUUGCCAAACGAUAUAGGGAGAUAGCUGUUGUUUGAUUUAUUUAUACUUUUUUUGAAUGGAAAGGAAUUGAAUUCAAAGGGUCUUCGGUGCUAACGAUACUGAUCAAAACGUUCACAGCUAUAAAACAACGAGUACUCGUUAUGAGUGUUACAACAUCAGUCGUUACACUUGGACGAAAGGAAAUUAAAACUUUUGUGAUGUAAUGUAAAUAAGAAAACCCGAUUGAUUUGAUGUGAAAUGCUGUAAUGAUAUUAUAAAAUGCACACACACAGCUAUAAAAUAAUGAAGAAAACAUG